GUGUCAGCAGCCGCGGUAAUACAGAGGGGGCAAGCGUUAUUCGGAAUUAUUGGGCGUAAAGGGCGCGUAGGCGGCUUGACAAGUGACGGGUGAAAUCCCUCGGCUUAACCGAGGAACUGCCCGUCAGACUGUCUUGCUUGAGACCGGGAGAGGUGAGUGGAAUUCCCAGUGUAGCGGUGAAAUGCGUAGAUAUUGGGAGGAACACCAGUGGCGAAGGCGGCUCACUGGACCGGAACUGACGCUGAGGCGCGAAAGCGUGGGGAGCAAACAGGAUUAGAAACCCGUGUAGUCC
RNAcentral lists this ribosomal RNA (292 nucleotides) under uncultured bacterium. RNAcentral's name for it is "partial 16S ribosomal RNA". It matches the Rfam family "Bacterial small subunit ribosomal RNA", at positions 505 to 796 of the family's 1533-position model. The record is from RNAcentral.